Molecule: long non-coding RNA, 3503 nt
Organism: Gallus gallus (chicken)
Lineage: Eukaryota; Metazoa; Chordata; Aves; Galliformes; Phasianidae
Exons: 3
Source: RefSeq, a predicted model, not a curated record
GGGGCACGUUAUGAGCAGAGCAUUCAAGAGGGCUGCCGCAAAGCCCCAGCAGUGAAUCCCUGUAUUACUUCUGUAAAUGCAAAAGCAAACAAGAAGCUGGCUCCCAGCCCUUCGGCAAGAAAAGCACCCGUAAAGUUUCCUUCUUACCAUGCAGGACACAUCUCAGCACCAGGAGACUAAGGCAGAGAACGUGCAGCCGCUGCAUUGUGUCGCUGAGUCAGGCAGAGAAGGGGCUGCAGACGGUGGUGCUCCAGGCAGGAGAGAGGGAAACAAGGUCCAGAGGAAACCACUCUCCUGCAGGACACGACUACACACCACAGUUUUGGAGAUCACCGCCCUUCUAGCACCUGUGUAGCCCUGUAUCUGCAGAGCUGCAGUGUGCACGCUCCCAUGUGUUGUCAGCAGUGCAGCACGGAGGGACCAACCCUGUGCACGUGUCCCCAGAUCCACAUGUUGGAGAAACAAGAAGAUUGUUGGAGAAUUGUUGGAAAUGUUGGAAGUUGGAGAAACAAGACUCUUCCUUCCCUCCCUCCCCUGCCAUCCACCCUGAUUAGGCUUGUCCUGGUGCCCAUAUGAUGUCAAGGUGAGUGCUGCAAAGGGAGGGGACAGAUGCCACUGCUUGCCCCUAGAAUAAGUCAAUUACCCCAGGAGAGCUCUGAGAAACUGCACAGAGCCCCGCUGCAUUCCUUGCCUGGUCCCAGCUCUGGCUGCUCCUGGAAAGUCCCUUUCCUUGUUGUUUUCAAGCCACUGUAGUAGCAUCCUCUGUCCAGCCCCAAACACGGUCUGAGCUGCUGAGCAAAGUCAGGGCAUGUGCUUCCUUUGCAGGCAUCACUUUUAGCAAUUUUCUGGUCACUGAUAUUUGCAUCACAAAGAAAGCAGCUGUCUGAGUGGACCCUCACUCCAUUCCUCCCAGGAAAGUUGUUCUGGAGGGGCACAAGCUCAGGGCAGGGGUACCCAGCAGCAUGCUCUGGCUGUGGGCACAGGCAAGGCAAUGUGCAGAGCCACAUGUAACCUGGGCAGGGGAUCUAUGCCCACUUCCACUCCUGCUUCCCUUUCCAAAAGCCCCCGUUCACCUUAAGUGCUCUGCUCUGUCCUCUGUCCCCCAAGCCCAGGAUGAAAGCAAGGCAUUUCUGGCAGGGAGAUAUGGAAGAGCAUCCCUGUCUGCAUAGGGUCAUGAGAGAGGUCUAAAUUUUGGGAGGCAGAGGAAAGGCUUUUUAGGGCUCUCCAACACCAGCAGAUUCCAGGAACAGUACUGCCCUGUUCUGGCCAGGUGCAGUUUCUUGCUAGUACCUUCAUUAACCGACUGCUCACCAACUUGGGCUCCUGCAGCCAACAGAGCUCAGGAACAGGGGCAGAGAUAGGUACAGAGAGAAGAAUACAACCAGACAGGGUGCCUUUCUGCAGUGCUGGAAAAUAUCCUCUGAUGCUGCAGCACCAGAGGUUUGGGCAGCUCCAGCCCUCCAUGUAUCCCAGACUGCAGGAAGAGCUGAGAGAUUCCUGUGCAAUGAUCCACAGGACCCAUAGGCAGAAACAGUCAGGGACCACAGCCCUCUUGUUUGUGAGACUUUUCCAAGCACUGAAAACACCCCAGCAGCUUGCAGGACUUGCUCAGAUCUUCAUCUCAAAUGCCCUGUAUGUUUGCACCCAUCACCCCAGUGCCAGAGCCUGGGGUUUGCUUAUGAACUGCUUCCCCAGCUUGCUACACUGCUCUUUAGCAUCUCACUCCCCAUGUCAGGAGAGCCCCCAGAGCUCCUCUGCUACCCCAACUCUGCUCCGAGCACCCUAUGCAUGACCAGACAGUGGACUCUGCUCCUCAGCUCACUCAGGACUGGCCACAGAGGCUCCUCGGUUGCAUGCAUGGGCUGAGGGCAUCCAGGAGACCCAAGCUGGGGGGUGGGAAUUUCCAAAUCCUUUUGGAUGCUGCGUCCAAAUUAUAGUCACUGCUAACAGGAACAGGGUCGCUCAGCUUCACUCAACCCGCUGACCAGCAAAUUCCUUCCCGCAGAGCCCCCGAUUCCCAGGAGAAAGCCACUGAGGCACCUCGCUGAGCCCAGCCUGGAAAGCCCCCGCCACUGGGAAGGGGAGUGGGCUGCCUGCCAGCCCACACCGUAUAGAAACGUGCUCCAUGGCAUCCUUAGGAAGUGGGAAAAGAAUUGCUGGAAGCCAGCGGCACACGCGCCGGCUGCCUCCCUGUCCUCAGCGUGCAGCAGGGCUGAUGGGAAGAGCAGGGUGAGCACAGCGUGCUGGGAAGCGCAACCCGAGACUCUCCUCCCCAUAAACGGGUACUGGAGCUGCAGGGCUUUGGUGUCUUUGGGCAGAGAGAGAGUUGUGCCCCGUGUACUGCAGGCCCUCCGAUCCCAAAGAAAGGCAUCUUCCCAGCUGAGAGUCAUGCUAGGAGUUAACCCCUUGCUCACUCAAACAUCCGUGGAGGUGUUAAGCAGCAGUGGAAGCAGAUAAAAAAAAAGUGCAGAAAAAUGUGCAUGGGGUGAAAUGGUACUGAUAGCAGUGAGAGGGACCUGAGUGAAUGAGCAGCAUGGCAAGAUGUUCUCUUCUCUAUCCUCUGCAUGGUGUGCAGCAAUGCCCCCCCAUCCAAAAGCAAGGGGCUGGGCUGGCUCUGCCUUUUGUUACCCCCUCCAACCAGGAAAAAUUGGGAUGCUGCUCUCACCCUCUUGGCCAUGCACAGCCCAAUACAUGGGAUCUGCUGGGCUCAGGCUGGUGUGAGCUUGUACAUUUGUCACCAUGGCACCAGCACACUCAGCUUGUGCUGGAAGGGAUGAUGCUGGUCCCCCUGUGGCACAGUGGAGACAUCCUUGGAGUGGCAAGGUUUGUGUUGGAGAGGGGACACAGUGAGAUACUCCUACUCCUGGUGAGAAAGAAGUGAGUGCUGCAUGGAAGAGUGGGGCAAUUGGUGUUUUCAUAACCCUCCAAAAUGAGUGACCCUCUCACUUGGUCCUCAGCCCUGUCACCAAGCAUUGGUUCAGCUCCUCUCCCAUCAAGCAGCAUGGCAAGGCUUGAUUCAGUUCCUGCAGUUUCCCUUGCUGCAGUGUAAAACGUAGUGGAAAUUGCUGGUACCGGUCCAGUUGUUGUGGAAAACGGAGAGGUAACAAGUCAUAAAUCCCCCCGGCAAUGGACCAGGCACAUGACAGCCGAGCCAGGCAGUCAGAAAGGUUUGGGUUGAGCUGUGAGCAAGGACACGCAGAGGCACUGUCCCAGUGCAGCCUGCAUAGUGCUUGAAUUCAAAGAGAUUUAGGGAAACUGCUGGGAAAAGAAACAGCUGAGUGGUGUCAGAAAGGAAACGACUCCUUCUCCAUUUCACGGCUCUAUGCUGAGGGAUGUGGGAUGUUGAGUUUGAAAGCAGGCAGAGCCGUGCUGCAGACACCUAGCAUCUGCCAAGCAGCCCUGCACUGCCCCUGGCAUGAAUUUAGCCCCAAAGGGCUUGGCCAGAGAGAAGGUAUCCACUGCCUAUAGCUGCUGGCACAUGCAGCUAGCUUGGCAGGAUGGGG